RNAcentral lists this ribosomal RNA (500 nucleotides) under uncultured bacterium. Its description in RNAcentral is "partial 16S ribosomal RNA". It matches the Rfam family "Bacterial small subunit ribosomal RNA", at positions 30 to 523 of the family's 1533-position model. The record is from RNAcentral.
AUUGAACGCUGGCGGAAUGCUUCACACAUGCAAGUCGAACGGCAGCACGGACUUCGGUCUGGUGGCGAGUGGCGAACGGGUGAGUAAUGUAUCGGAACGUGCCCAGUCGUGGGGGAUAACGUAGUGAAAAUUACGCUAAUACCGCAUACGAUCUAUGGAUGAAAGCGGGGGAUCGCAAGACCUCGCGCGAUUGGAGCGGCCGAUAGCAGAUUAGGUAGUUGGUGGGGUAAAGGCCCACCAAGCCAACGAUCUGGAGCUGGUCUGAGAGGACGACCAGCCACACUGGAACUGAGACACGGUCCAGACUCCUACGGGAGGCAGCAGUGGGGAAUUUUGGACAAUGGACGCAAGUCUGAUCCAGCCAUUCCGCGUGCAGGAUGAAGGCCCUCGGGUUGUAAACUGCUUUUGUACGGAACGAAAAGGUCUCUCUUAAUACGGGGGGCUCAUGACGGUACCGUAAGAAUAAGCACCGGCUAACUACGUGCCAGCCGCCGCGGUAA